This is a long non-coding RNA of Pecten maximus, 4241 nucleotides long. RefSeq lists it as uncharacterized. Lineage: Eukaryota; Metazoa; Mollusca; Bivalvia; Pectinida; Pectinidae. The record is from RefSeq and is a predicted model, not a curated record. The transcript has 2 exons.
UUAUUGGGCAAUAAGUCCGUGUUUAGUAUACAGUAUACUAACAAUCAUAAUUAUUAGUCAAUAAGUCAGGGUUUAGUAUACAGUAUACUAACUACCAUAAUUAUAGGUCAAUAAGUCUGUGUUUAGUAUACAGUAUACUAACUACCAUAAUUAUAGGUCAAUAAGUCUGUGUUUAGUAUACAGUAUACUAACUACCAUAAUUAUAGGUCAAUAAGUCUGUGUUUAGUAUACAGUAUACUAACUACCAUAAUUAUAGGUCAAUAAGUCUGUGUUUAGUAUAAUAUAGUAUACUAACUAUCAUAAUUAUUGGUCAAUAAGUCCGUGUUUAGUAUACAGUAUACUAACUAUCAUAAUUAUUAGUCAAUAAGUCAGGGUUUAGUAUACAGUAUACUAACUAUCAUAAUUAUUGGUCAAUAAGUCUGUGUUUAGUAUAAUACAGUAUACUAACUAUCAUAAUUAUUGGUCAAUUAGUCCGUGUUUACUAUACAGUAUACUAACUAUCAUAAUUAUUAGUCAAUAAGUCAGGGUUUAGUAUACAGUAUACUAACUACCAUAAUUAUAGGUCAAUAAGUCUGUGUUUAGUAUAAUAUAGUAUACUAACUAUCAUAAUUAUUGGUCAAUAAGUCCGUGUUUAGUAUACAGUAUACUAACUAUCAUAAUUAUUAGUCAAUAAGUCAGGGUUUAGUAUACAGUAUACUAACUACCAUAAUUAUAGGUCAAUAAGUCAGGGUUUAGUAUACAGUAUACUAACUACCAUAAUUAUUGGGCAAUAAGUCCGUGUUUAGUAUACAGUAUACUAACUAUCAUAAUUAUUGGUCAAUAAGUCCGUGUUUAGUAUACAGUAUACUAACAAUCAUAAUUAUUGGUCAAUAAGUCAGGGUUUAGUAUACAGUAUACUAACUACCAUAAUUAUUAGUCAAUAAGUCUGUGUUUAGUAUACAAUAUACUAACUAUCAUAAUUAUUGGUCAAUAAGUCUGUGUUUAGUAUACAGUAUACUUACUACCAUAAUUAUUAGUCAAUAAGUCUGUUUAGUAUAAUACAGUAUACUAACUAUCAUAAUUAUUGGUCAAUAAGUCCGUGUUUAGUAUACAGUAUACUAACUAUCAUAGUUAUUGGUCAAUAAGUCUGCUUAUUAUAAACUAUACUAAAAAAAUGCUGUAAUCAUUGGGCACUAUUUAUAAGCCUGUGCGUGAUAAUAGAUCCAUCUAUAUAUCUUAUGCUUUUUAGAAAAAUAACCAAUACAUGCCAUUGUCCUAUAAUUAGCCCAUCCCCUAAGUGAGAGGUGAUGUGUUGGAACUAUGGCUUAUUAUGGGAUACAUAUAGUGUUUUCAUGGUAAAGAUGAAGUUAUCCAUUGGCAGUCACAGACUUUACAGAUAAAUUGUAAAUAUUCAAUGGAUUUUAUUUUCUUAUAUUUACAUUUACACUGCAGCCCCACUAUAUAACUUUACCAAGCUCAUUAAUAAAUUCAACAUGAAGCGCUAGCGCGCUUCAUUAAAUUUGCCUUUGUCCAGUUGGCAUUCAUCAGCCCAUAACUUCCAAAUGAAAGCAGUUCAAUGCUUAAAUAAUACCGUUUGAAAGGUGGAUUGUGGCAUUGAAAUACAUUGUAUCUAUAAAUAUUCAUUCCCUAUGUCUUGAUAUGAUUUCAAAUUUGUUACAAAAAUGAUCAUGAUAAAAAUAUGUUUUAUUUCAUACUAAAGAAAUAGUGUUAAGAAAAUUUCAUUGUUGAGAAAUUUAUUUAAACCAAGGUUAAAAUGAUUAUAACUGAACAAAUCAUUGUUAGAAAAUUUUAUCAGGCAUUAUAUUUAAAUAUAUAUACACGUAUAUAUAUCAUAAAGAUAAGACAAUUCUCCUCAACAAAAUUAAAAGUGUCUACAAUGAUAUGUAAAUACUAAGAUCAGUGCAAAACAAUAUCAUUAGAAUUUUGAUGGUCCUUUCAGAAAGCAUAUAUUACUGCAGAACACUGCACAAACAUCAACUGACCAGGGUUAAUCAGUGUUUUAAACCCUGUAGCAUUUCUUAUGUUAUAAGCUUGUGUAUCGCCAUAACUUAAACCCAUUUCAAUGUUUUUACCUGGCAAACGGAUUACAAUCAAACCUCAUUUUCUCAAUAACAUGGAACUCCUAUAGAUAUCCCGAUUAUUCCAGGUAACCAAAUAUAUUUAUACACUAGAAUUUUACUUUCUGAACUGCCCAUUUGCGCCAAUUUAAUACAAAUACAGUAAAACUCAUUUAUAACCACUCCAAGGGACCUUGCUAUUGAAUUCGUUAUACAAGUAUAAAUAAAAGGAACGGUAAUAAAAGUUGAUAAACAAAUCAUUAUACGUGUUAAGCAUACUGUUACUAUCGAAUUUGUAAGACUAGUACUGUUAAAACAAACAGGUUAACAAACAAGUAAAAGUAACGUUCCUUUAAUUACAGAAAAAAAAGAAGUUUUCAAUUGUUUCCAUGAGACAUAUAUACAACCCGACACUGUUUAGUACCCCUUCAAUUUAUUUCAUUAUACAUGUAAAACAUGUACCUUUGUAUGUGAGCUUACAUGUAAACACACAAAUAAAUACCCUUGGGGAGCCCCGGCAAGCUGACCGUGACAUUCGACGGGUGUGUAAACAAAUCCUGUACAGGCAAGUCUACGGGUGAUUGGCGAUUCGUUAUGUGAGUGCUUAUUUACUGAGAGAGAGAGAUGAAGCAACCCACGAAUUAGUUCAUUAUGAACAAAAAGUCGUUAUAUAGAUUUCGCUAUACAAGUGGUUACAUUACUAAUAUUAUAUAGUGCUACAGUCGGGGAUUAACUUCUAUUUCAUUAUACGUGAAAAUUCGUCCUAACCGAGUUCAUUGUAUUCGAGUUUUACUGUAUAGGUAUAUAUAUGGUAUAUACAGUAUAAAGAAAAAAGUCAAAAUCAACACGAUAAUUUGAUAACGCUAAUGUUUUCAGACUUUCAGGCAAAUGUUUAUUUACUAGGUAACAUAACAUUAUGACGUUAUCAGACGAAUGUUUAUUUACUAGGUAACGUAACAUGACGUUAUCAGGCGAAUGUUUAUUUACCAGGUAAUGUAACAUGACGUUAUCAGGCGAAUGUUGAUUUACUAGGUAACGUAACAUGACGUUAUCAGACGAAUGUUUAUUUUCUAGGUAACGUAACAUUAUGACGUUAUCAGGCGAAUGUUUAUUUUCUAGGUAACAUAACAUUAUGACGUUAUCAGGCGAAUGUUUAUUUACUAGGUAACGUAACAUGACGUUAUCAGGCGAAUGUUUAUUUACUAGGUAACGUAACAUGACGUUAUCAUGCGAAUGUUUAUUUACUAGGUAACGUAACAUUAUGACGUUAUCAGGCGAAUGAUUAUUUACUAGGUAACGUAACAUUAUGACGUUAUCAGACGAAUGUUUAUCUACAAGGUAACGUUACAUGACGUUAUCAAGCGAAUGUUGAUUUACUAGGUAACGUAACAUGACGUUAUCAGGCGAAUGUUUAUUUUCUAGGUAACGUAACAUGACGUUAUCACAAGGUAACGUAACAUGACGUUAUCACAAGGUAACGUAACAUGACGUUAUCACAAGGUAACGUAACAUGACGUUAUCGACAAUGACCACAGAGGAGAUAAUACGUACUUCUAAGUUACCAUAUAUAUGGUACCAUUUAAUGAAGAAUUGAGCUGUGGAUGCAUUAACUACAUAAUGCAUUGCAUUUUUUGUGGACGCUUUAAAACUUUCCUUAGAACCACUUAGAAUGAAUUUCUACAAAUGUUCCACAGUGAUAUGCUAAAUAGAUAUAUAUUUGAUCGUCUACAUUUUUUAAAAAUUUUUCCCGUGACAAAUAAUGGCAACUUCCUUCUUACUAUUGUACAGAACAUUUCUCCUAGCUCAGACUGUCUGGCAUUUCAAAAGCAGAUUCCCUGGGUUUUAUCCUCAGUAGAGGCUUUUAAAUAUGAUGUCAUCUAUCAGCUGUUUACAGCAGCGUUCCCUGCUGGGGGCAUUCUCAGAUAAUAGCCCCUGUUUAGUGUUGUGAUAUACACAUACAUUGUACAGUGUAUGAAAUGGUUAAAAUAAAUUUUUUGAGAUUUGGGGAUUUGGCAUUAUUGUAAAGGGGUGGGAGGUACUUGUAUUAAAAUUUGAUGGAUGGUAAGGUCCCCGAAUAAAAUAUCUCCCACCCCUCCCACUAGGAUAACUUUGGAACAGCCCUUUGUCGGAACAAUAAAAUAUUAUUAUAUGAAUGUCAUCAUGAAAUAAAGGAGAUAUUUUGAA